CCUGCUAAACUUAAGCAUAUCAAUAAGUGGAGGAAAAGAAACUAACAAGGAUUCCCCUAGUAACUGCAAGUGAAGUGGAAAGAGCUCAAAUUUUGAAUCUGGUGGUCCUCGGCUGCCCAAGUUGUAAUCUACAGAAGUGUCUUCCACACUGGACUGUGUACAAGUCUCCUGGAAGGUUGCAUCAUAGAGGGUGACAAUCCCAUCUCUGACAUGGAGCCCAGCGCUAUGUGAUGCACUCUCAAUGAGUCAAGUUGUUUGGGAAUGCAGCUCAAAUCAGGUGGUAAACUCCAUCUAAAGCUAAAUAUUGGCAAGAGACCAACAGCGAACAAGUACCAUGAGGGAAAGAUGAAAAGGACUUUGGAAAGAGAGUUAAACAGUACGUGAAAUUGCUGGAAGGGAAACGCUUGACGUCAGUCGCGUCGUCCGGGGAUCAACCUCGCUUCUAGCUGGGCAUAUUUCCUGGUCGACAGGUCAGCAUCAAUUUUGGCCAUUGUAGAAGGAUGGGAGCAAACGUGGCACUCUCCAGAGUGUGCUAUAGCCUCUCAUAUGGAUGCAAUGGCUGGGAUCAACAAACUCGGCACAACCCCUUGAGGGUUCAGGGCUUUGGUCCAUGUAGUGUGCCUAGGAUGCUAGCAUAAUGGCUUUAAGCAACCCAUCUUGAAACAUGG
This 668-nucleotide non-coding RNA is filed under the name Scleroderma citrinum Foug A. Its description in RNAcentral is "Eukaryotic large subunit ribosomal RNA". It matches the Rfam family "Eukaryotic large subunit ribosomal RNA", at positions 24 to 664 of the family's 3401-position model. The record is from Rfam by way of RNAcentral. Lineage: Eukaryota; Fungi; Basidiomycota; Agaricomycetes; Boletales; Sclerodermataceae.